GUCUGUAUGAAGUUGAAUAGAGUCUGUUCUGCCCGUUGAAUGUAAAGUUUGAAAGGCCGCAGUAUCUUGACUGUGCGAAGGUAGCAUAAUCAUUAGUUUUUUAAUUGAAGGCUUGAAUGAAUGAUCGGACAAGAACCAGACUGUCUUUUUCAAAACAACUGAAUUUUAUUUUUAAGUGAAAAAGCUUAAAUAACCAAGAAAGACGAUAAGACCCUAUAAAUCUUUAUGUUAUUGAGAAUUUUGCUUAAUAUGUUAGGUUAAGUUAAGUUUAAAUGCUUAAUUCAUUAUACUGGGGCGGUAAUGAUAUAAAAAAUAAACUGUCGAUAAUGUGAAACAAAAACUUUUGAAUUGUAAAAGAACCCAAAUACGGAUUAAAGGAGUAAGUUACUUUAGGGAUAACAGCAUAAUUUCUUUUGAGAGUCCAAAUCGAAAAAGAAGCUUGUGACCUCGAUGUUGAAUUAAGGAGUCCUCUAUAGUGCAGCAGUUAUAAGAGGAAGUCUGUUCGACUUUUAAACCCUUACAUGAUUUGAGUUCAGACCGGCGUGAG
Molecule: ribosomal RNA, 547 nt
Filed under: Petrolisthes politus
Lineage: Eukaryota; Metazoa; Arthropoda; Malacostraca; Decapoda; Porcellanidae
Description: partial 16S ribosomal RNA
Rfam family: Bacterial large subunit ribosomal RNA
Source: RNAcentral